Long non-coding RNA from Hippopotamus amphibius kiboko, 2015 nucleotides. RefSeq lists it as uncharacterized. Lineage: Eukaryota; Metazoa; Chordata; Mammalia; Artiodactyla; Hippopotamidae. The transcript has 4 exons. The record is from RefSeq and is a predicted model, not a curated record.
CUUUAUAUCGCAGCUGCAGGUCUCUGAUGGGACAGCUGGAAGGGUGGGUUGUGGGCCCGGAGCAGGGCUGUCUGGUACCUGCUUGGUGCCAAGGCCACUUACUCACCUGAGAUGGGGCAUCUGUCAGCCAAGACAAAAUGGUGGAAAAGCUGAAAUUUAUGCCUUUGGAAUCUGAGGCAUUAACCGUUGUAAAUCAGCCUUUGGUGCCCAAAGGGCUGGAAGGCAUCCUGCUUUCAGGAACCACACGGGGACAACGGGGGCCCGAGGACGUGCCCAGGAUCACCUGGCAAGUCAGUGGCUCACUCAGCCAUGACCGUGAAGAAAAAUGUAGAGGCCUGCCCAGAGUGCUGAAUGCGGACCCUUUCCAUCUCUGGUGGGAUUCUGGCACCUCUUCUUCUGGGAUAUUGGUUUGUAGAAAGAACCCAUGAGGGAUUUGCAUUUGACGGGGCCUGUGUAAGAAUCUUAACUGCAUCGUUAGCUAACGAACAAGCUGUGAGGCCUUGUGAAAAUCGCAAAACCUCUUCCCUCCCUGUGUGCAAUGGACACCGUGGUUCCUGCUUGAGAUGGUUCUCUGAGGGUGGGUGCCCAGCUGUGCACGCAGAGAGGGCACCAGGCUGAGCGGCUGGCACAGGGUAGGUCUUCACAAAGUACUUUCUGGGUGAAUGGAAAAGAAAAGGUAUCUAUUGCUGUAAAAUAAGAGUGGGUAUCCUACCUUCCUGGGUCAGUUUAAGUCUCCCCCUGAAAUUUACUUGGAUGCAAGAAACCAAGGCCUUCCUGGUCUCUGGGAAGGCCUCCUGGCCCUGGGACAAAGCUCGGCUCAGAGAAGCUGCCAUGCUGCUUCCGGCGCACGGCGCAGCGCCCAGCAGGCGGUCGGCUUCCCACGCUCCACAUCUCCCGGCCCUGAACCUCGCUUCCAGCUCACAGCAACUGCACCAGCCCGAUGAACAGAGAGCAUUACCCCUUGUUUGUUCGUUUUCAUUGUGGUAAACUAUACGUAAUAUAAAAUUUACCGUUUCUGUCCGUUUUGAAGUGCUCAGUUCAGUGAGAUGAAGUACCUUCACGUUGUUUUACAAUCACCACCUCUAUCCAUCUCCACACCGUUUGCAUCACCCCUGUACCCAUGAAGUAAUAACUCCUCCUCUCCCUUCACCCAGCCUUGGUAACCUCUGAUAUUUCCUGUUCCUGUGACCUUGACUGUUCUAGGUAACCUCACGUAUGUGGAAUCAUACAAUACGUGUCCUUUUGUGUUUGGCUUGUUUCACUUAGGAUUAUGUCUUCGGGUUCAUCUGUGUUGUGGCAUGUGUCAGAAUUUCAUUUGUUUUCAAGGCUGAAUAAGAUUUCAUCGUUUGUGUGUAGCACAUUCUGCUUAUGCAUUCGUCCGUCAACAAUCAUUCGCAUUGUUUCCAUGCUUUGGCUAUUGUGAAUAAUUCCACCAUGAAUGUACGUGUGCCGUGUCUGUUUAAGCCCCUGCUUUCAAUUUUUUGGGUAUAUACCUGGAAGUGGAAUUCCUGGAUUUGUGGUCAUUCUACAUUAAAUGUUUUGAGGCACCAUCAUACUAACCCUUUGUAAAACGUUCCCAGUGGAAAGGCAGUGCUGCAGGGGUGCUAUCUGAUGAGACUACCACCCCCACUCUGGGCCUUUCCAACGUUAGGGCUGGGGCUGGGAGUGGACUGGGAGGAUCCUGGAGCUGGCACAGGGGACCCCUUGGCGAUUCAGCACUGCCCUCCAUCAACCGGGACCACUUUUACACCAAACCCCGGGAGAAAGGAAGCAUGAGCUCUGUUCACCACGGAUGGACAGAGAUUGUUUUGGUUCUUGUGAGUCAACAACAGCUAAACCCCCCACCCCACGUAUGUACACACAAACUCCAAAUUUGGUUCAGGAAAGUGACUUAAGAAGUUUUAAGGGGUUGUGAUUAAACUCUUGGGCUUUGGUGCCAGUUCAAAUUCUGGUUUACAACAAGCACCUACGGUAUAGCAGAGGGAACUAUAUUCAAUAUCUUGUAAUAACCUGUA